UAAUCUUCCCCAAGUCUCCUCCGACGAUCUAGGCGUCCUCCGGUCGGUUUUUUGUUAUAUCAAAGGUAAAUAUUGUCUUUAUCUUCUUCUUCAUCUUUCUCUCUUCUUUUUGAUUUAUUUCCUCUUCCUCUUCUUCUUCUUCUUCUUAUUCUCGUUUUUCAUCUUCUUCUUCAUGUAAUCUUCUUUUUUUGAUUUGGGGUUUAUUGAUUUUGUG
This 214-nucleotide long non-coding RNA is filed under the name Zostera marina. Its description in RNAcentral is "long non-coding RNA (ZMAR_LNC000636)". The record is from RNAcentral. Lineage: Eukaryota; Viridiplantae; Streptophyta; Magnoliopsida; Alismatales; Zosteraceae.